AUUAGUUUUCUUCUAAUUACUCUCGUUUUAAAAUAUCUUUUAUAUAUUGGUGGUUUAACAUCUUCCAGAAUUUUCUGUAGUUAAAUUAUUACACUCAAAUACUUCAGGAAUUAAUGUCCUACUACUAACACUUGGUGAAUUUUAUUUAUCUUAGGUUUAGUUUCUUAAGUUUUACUUUCACAUUUUUAAAUUGUUCAGAUGUAAUUUGGUUAACUAUUGAAAAUUAUCUCUUAUUUGUGUUCUAUGUAUUGCACUGAUCUUGACCUGUACAGUUGAUAGUGACUUUUUAAAGUGGGCCAUGCUCAAGACUGAGGUGGUAAGACAUGCACAUAGAAAUAUUAAUUAUAGCUUCCCCUUACCUCCAGAACUCUUCAGUUCUUUACCCUAUAACUUCUUCUGAAUACUAAUAUUCCCACUUGUGCAGAAGUGCAGAAUUGAACUUAAAGAGGCUGACAGUUUGGAUGACUUGUUCAAGAUAUCUGCAGCGAGUAUAUUUGGAAAUACUGUAUAUCUGAACACUUAAAUGUGUGUUUGGGACUGACAAUAGCUGACUAACAUGUCCUGAGCUGUGAGAGGGCAUAGCAAGAAGGCCUUCAUGCGG
Long non-coding RNA from Camelus dromedarius (Arabian camel), 601 nucleotides. RefSeq lists it as uncharacterized. The record is from RefSeq and is a predicted model, not a curated record. The transcript has 3 exons. NCBI's taxonomy places the organism in Eukaryota, Metazoa, Chordata, Mammalia, Artiodactyla, Camelidae.